AUUGCUAGUAAUCACAGGUCAGCAUACUGUGGUGAAUACGUUCCCGGGCCUUGUACACACCGCCCGUCACACCAUGAGAGUUGAGAAUACCCGAAGUCCAUGUCAAAGUGGCCGAAGGUAGGCUUGAUGAUUGGGGUGAAGUCGUAACAAGGUACC
RNAcentral lists this ribosomal RNA (156 nucleotides) under uncultured bacterium. Its description in RNAcentral is "partial 16S ribosomal RNA". It matches the Rfam family "Bacterial small subunit ribosomal RNA", at positions 1331 to 1500 of the family's 1533-position model. The record is from RNAcentral.